GUAGGUACUCGAGUGGCGAACGGGUGAGUAACACGUGGGUGAUCUGCCCUGCACUCUGGGAUAAGCCUGGGAAACUGGGUCUAAUACCGGAUAGGACCAUGCUUUAGUGUGUGUGGUGGAAAGUUUUUCGGUGUAGGAUGAGCCCGCGGCCUAUCAGCUUGUUGGUGGGGUAAUGGCCUACCAAGGCGGCGACGGGUAGCCGGACUGAGAGGUUGGUCGGCCACAUUGGGACUGAGAUACGGCCCAG
This 247-nucleotide ribosomal RNA is filed under the name uncultured Actinomycetales bacterium. Its description in RNAcentral is "partial 16S ribosomal RNA". It matches the Rfam family "Bacterial small subunit ribosomal RNA", at positions 83 to 334 of the family's 1533-position model. Lineage: Bacteria; Bacillati; Actinomycetota; Actinomycetes; Actinomycetales. The record is from RNAcentral.